RNAcentral lists this small RNA (192 nucleotides) under Chelonoidis abingdonii (Abingdon island giant tortoise). Its description in RNAcentral is "TUC338 (ENSCABG00000006652.1)". The record is from RNAcentral. Lineage: Eukaryota; Metazoa; Chordata; Testudines; Testudinidae.
GCGAAAGCAGUAGAGACAUAAAAGUUUUUUUAUCUACAGAAAAGUAACUGCUCAGAUCGUUAUGACAAGCUUCUCUAGACAACCAAGGUAAAACUUCAAUCUUCAACAUGUAAUCCAACAUGAUUUAGGGAAUGGCCAGCCUCUGGAGAUAAAGGUAGUUCAGUCUCCAUGUCUAUUCAAUCCUUGACCUGU